GCCCUAGGUAACAACCCAUGCUGGCCAUGUGCAUAGCACUGAGCAGUAACAUCAUGCACUGUUCUGCCAGAAUUUGGAAUUUCGCCCCAAAGAAAGACAGGAAUCAGAUGACAACUUCAGACAAGUCUCUGCAGCAGUAAACAGAGUGGUGAGUUCACGAGGUCUGCACUUCCCCUGAGCAUAUGAUGAUUAAUUUGGGGGAAAAAAAGUCCUGUAAAGGUAACAGCCCUGAAUAACUAAGUAAUCCGACUUUCCCCCUUAGGUGUAUGGGGCUACAACAGGAUCUCCCACAGAUAGUGACCAUCCUAAAGAGAAGAGGGAAGGGAAAACUGAAGAAGAAUUGGGUUCUGAUUCAUCCAGCACAGCUGAGAGUAAAAUUGGCUUUUCAAUGAAUGACAGUCCUACAUUUAGCAAGGGUUUGUUUGUAGACAGUAGAGACUAUUCUAAGAAAAACCUUCAGAACAUGAGCACAAACCUGUCUGGUGUCAGCUUGCUAGAGGAUGACAAACGAAGAGGGGCUCAAGAUAUUUUAGGAUCCCAUUUUCCAGCUGUUGAAACUGGAAAACAAAAGCCAAACUACAGACUCUCACGAGAUGCUCACCAGGGCCUGCCGCAGGGUGAAGCCUUGCAGAGCACAGGCAAGCAUAUCCCCAUCAGCAGCGUUGCCCCUCUCAUGAGGCACACGCAGGAAGCUAUGGGGCCUCAGCCUUCCUCGCAGGAGCAAGAAGCUUCUGCAGUCAACUACAAUCAGGUUGUGCUAAGACCCAAAGUGUCCAGAAGUAACAGUGUGAACAGCAUCGAAGAGACAGAGUCUCCAGCUAGCUCUCCAAGUGAAGACAACCCACCCACAGAAAACAUUGCCUUCAUGAUUACUAAAACAGCCGUCCAGGUCCUCUCGAGUGGGGAAGUUCACGAUAUAGUCAGCCGGAAAGGUGGAGAUGUGCAAACAGUGAACAUCGAUGCGAGAAGGGACAUGGCAUUGGAGAAGGGUAUCCCAGAAAACACAGACAGCGAAGAGCCGGUGGUGUGCCUGGACAAAAAACCCGUCAUCAUCAUUUUUGAUGAACCGAUGGAUAUUAGGUCAGCGUAUAAGCGGCUUUCUACAAUUUUUGAGGAAUGUGAUGAGGAGUUGGAGAAAAUGAUGACAGAUGAAAAGAUAGAAGAGGAAGAGGAGGAGGAAGAAAAUGAAGCACAUGAAAUCCCUGAGAGCCAGAAGGAAGAACCACCGGUAGUUAAUGACAGAAAAGCAAUUGCGGACUAUUCAGCGGCUCACGGUCUCGAAGAGCAGUACAUAUUAAACGUUCAGUCUUCCUCUGACUCUGCAGAAACCAGACCUCCUGCAGAAGAGGAAAGUACAAAGACGAAUUUUAACAAAUACCGUCAGAUCUAUGGGCUAAACACAGAAGCAAACUUGGACUCUGCCGAUCAGUUUGGCAGCAGGCAGGAUUCUAAGAAAAAGUUUAAAUUCAAAUUCCCUAAAAAGCAGCUGGCUGCUUUGACGCAGGCGAUACGGACAGGAACCAAGACUGGGAAGAAGACCUUGCAGGUUGUGGUCUAUGAAGAAGAGGAGGAAGAUGGAACCCUGAAGCAGCAUAAGGAAGCAAAGAGAUUUGAAAUCACCAGGUCUCAGCCUGAGGACAGUGACAAAAGUCCUUCUGGGAAGCAAGAGGGACUCCCUGGAGCUGCAGUGUCCAUGUCUAGGACUGAUGAAAUUCGACAGAGUACAUACCGAACGCUAGACAGCCUUGAGCAGACUAUAAAGCAGCUGGAAAACACCAUCAGUGAAAUGAGUCCAAAAUCUAUCCCUGAAAACACAUACAGCUCUGAGGGAAGCACUGUCCCCUUCUCUGCCCAGAUAGUACCAGAGACCCCAUCCCGAGAGCUUGUAGUGCUGGAUGAGAGCCUUGCUGGCGUAGAGCCCCCUCCGUCAAUCCCAGCCACUUCACGUAAGGUACCUUAGUCCAAGAAAUCAAACCUCCAGCUGCUU
This is an RNA transcript of Haliaeetus leucocephalus (bald eagle), 1987 nucleotides long. It is a transcript of the gene named sickle tail protein homolog pseudogene, with no coding region annotated. The record is from RefSeq and is a predicted model, not a curated record. NCBI's taxonomy places the organism in Eukaryota, Metazoa, Chordata, Aves, Accipitriformes, Accipitridae. The transcript has a single exon.